UGGGGAAUAUUGCACAAUGGGCGCAAGCCUGAUGCAGCCAUGCCGCGUGUAUGAAGAAGGCCUUCGGGUUGUAAAGUACUUUCAGCGGGGAGGAAGGGAGUAAAGUUAAUACCUUUGCUCAUUGACGUUACCCGCAGAAGAAGCACCGGCUAACUCCGUGCCAGCAGCCGCGGUAAUACGGAGGGUGCAAGCGUUAAUCGGAAUUACUGGGCGUAAAGCGCACGCAGGCGGUUUGUUAAGUCAGAUGUGAAAUCCCCGGGCUCAACCUGGGAACUGCAUCUGAUACUGGCAAGCUUGAGUCUCGUAGAGGGGGGUAGAAUUCCAGGUGUAGCGGUGAAAUGCGUAGAGAGCUGGAGGAAUACCGGUGGCGAGGGCGGCCCCCUGGACGAAGACUGACGCUCAGGUGCGAAAGCGUGGGGAGCAAACAGG
RNAcentral lists this ribosomal RNA (429 nucleotides) under Fusobacteriota bacterium. RNAcentral describes it as "Fusobacteria bacterium partial 16S ribosomal RNA". It matches the Rfam family "Bacterial small subunit ribosomal RNA", at positions 355 to 776 of the family's 1533-position model. Lineage: Bacteria; Fusobacteriati; Fusobacteriota. The record is from RNAcentral.